RNAcentral lists this ribosomal RNA (544 nucleotides) under uncultured Nitrosomonas sp. RNAcentral describes it as "bacterial SSU rRNA". It matches the Rfam family "Bacterial small subunit ribosomal RNA", at positions 485 to 1027 of the family's 1533-position model. The record is from RNAcentral. Lineage: Bacteria; Pseudomonadati; Pseudomonadota; Betaproteobacteria; Nitrosomonadales; Nitrosomonadaceae.
AAGAAGCACCGGCUAACUUUACGUGCCAGCAGCCGCGGUAAUACCUAGGGUGCGAGCGUUAAUCGGAAUUACUGGGCGUAUAAGGGUGCGCAGGCGGUCUUUAAGUCAGAUGUGAAAUCCCCGGGCUUAACCUGGGAACUGCGUUUGAAACUACAAGACUGAGUGUAGCAGAGGGGGGUGGAAUUCCACGUGUAGCAGUGAAAUGCGUAGAGAUGUGGAAGAACACCGAUGGCGAAGGCAGCCCCCUGGGUUAACACUGACGCUCAGGCACGAAAGCGUGGGGAGCAAAUGCAGGAUUAGAUACCCUGGUAGUCCACGCCCAAACGAUGUCAACUAGUUGUCGGGUCUUUUAUAGAUUUGGUAACGUAGCUAACGCGUGAAGUUGACCGCCUGGGGAAUACGGUCGCAAGAUUAAAACUCAUAAGGAAUUGACGGGGACCCGACAAGCGGUGGAUUAUGUGGAUUAAUUCGAUGCAACGCGAAAAACCUUACCUACCCUUGCAUGUAGUGAAUACUCUAGAGAUAGAGUAGUGCCUUCGGUUAA